AUGAACGCUGGCGGCGUGCCUAAUACCUGCAAGUCGAGCGAACAGACGAGGAGCUUGCUCCUCUGACGUUAGCGGCGGACGGGUGAGUAACACGUGGAUAACCUACCUAUAAGACUGGGAUAACUUCGGGAAACCGGAGCUAAUACCGGAUAAUAUAUUGAACCGCAUGGUUCAAUAGUGAAAGACGGUUUUGCUGUCACUUAUAGAUGGAUCCGCGCCGCAUUAGCUGGUUGGUAAGGUAACGGCUUACCAAGGCAACGAUGCGUAGCCGACCUGAGAGGGUGAUCGGCCACACUGGAACUGAGACACGGUCCAGACUCCUACGGGAGGCAGCAGUAGGGAAUCUUCCGCAAUGGGCGAAAGCCUGACGGAGCAACGCCGCGUGAGUGAUGAAGGUCUUCGGAUCGUAAAACUCUGUUAUUAGGGAAGAACAAAUGUGUAAGUAACUAUGCACGUCUUGACGGUACCUAAUCAGAAAGCCACGGCUAACUACGUG
RNAcentral lists this ribosomal RNA (496 nucleotides) under uncultured bacterium. Its description in RNAcentral is "partial 16S ribosomal RNA". It matches the Rfam family "Bacterial small subunit ribosomal RNA", at positions 29 to 507 of the family's 1533-position model. The record is from RNAcentral.